This 441-nucleotide ribosomal RNA is filed under the name uncultured bacterium. RNAcentral describes it as "bacterial SSU rRNA". It matches the Rfam family "Bacterial small subunit ribosomal RNA", at positions 30 to 507 of the family's 1533-position model. The record is from RNAcentral.
AUUGAACGCUGGCGGUAUGCUUAAGACAUGCAAGUCGAACGGUAACAGGUUAAGCUGACGAGUGGCGGACGAGUGAGUAACGCGUGGGAAUCUACCUUGUAGUGGGGGAUAAGCCAGGGAAACUUGGACUAAUACCGCAUACGCCCUAAGGGGGAAAGGCGCAAGUCGCUAUAAGAUGAGCCCGCGUCUGAUUAGGUAGUUGGUGGGGUAAAGGCCUACCAAGCCGACGAUCAGUAGCUGGUCUGAGAGGAUGAUCAGCCACGUCGGGACUGAGACACGGCCCGGACUCCUACGGGAGGCAGGCAGUCGGGAAUAUUGGACAAUGGGGGAAACCCUGAUCCAGCAAUACCGCGUGUGUGAAGAAGGCCUGCGGGUUGUAAAGCACUUUCAGUUGGGAAGAUAAUGACGUUACCAACAGAAGAAGCACCGGCUAACUCCGUG